GUGAAUCAUCAAAUUUUUGAACGCAAAUUGCACUCUCCGGUUUUCCGGGAGAGUAUGCCUUUUUAAGGGUCAGCCUAAAAAAAAUCGUCAUUUUUGCUUGUUUAUUUUUACUUUCUUCGGAGAUGGAUUAUCUUAAAUCUCGUUUUAAGCGACUUAAAAAUUUUUUUACGAUUCUACAUUUUUUUCUAAGAUUUUUCUUGUACGUUUAAGGUAUCGACUGUCUUAUUAGACGUGGCCGUCAUAUCGGAUCGUGUCAAUAAUUUUUUUCGUUAACUGACCUCAGACAGGUAAGA
Molecule: unclassified non-coding RNA, 293 nt
Filed under: Glomus sp.
Lineage: Eukaryota; Fungi; Glomeromycota; Glomeromycetes; Glomerales; Glomeraceae
Description: partial contains 5.8S ribosomal RNA and internal transcribed spacer 2
Rfam family: 5.8S ribosomal RNA (bases 1-72)
Source: RNAcentral